UACGUAGGGGGCAAGCGUUGUCCGGAAUUAUUGGGCGUAAAGAGCGCGUAGGCGGUCCGAUAAGUCGGCUGUGAAAGUCCAGGGCUCAACCCUGGAAAGCCGGCCGAUACUGUCGGACUAGAGUCCGGAAGAGGCAAGUGGAAUUCCCGGUGUAGCGGUGAAAUGCGCAGAUAUCGGGAGGAACACCCGUGGCGAAAGCGGCUCUCUGGGACGGUACUGACGCUGAGACGCGAAAGCGUGGGGAGCAAACAGG
RNAcentral lists this ribosomal RNA (253 nucleotides) under uncultured bacterium. RNAcentral describes it as "partial 16S ribosomal RNA". It matches the Rfam family "Bacterial small subunit ribosomal RNA", at positions 524 to 776 of the family's 1533-position model. The record is from RNAcentral.